Molecule: long non-coding RNA, 93 nt
Organism: Mustela erminea (ermine)
Lineage: Eukaryota; Metazoa; Chordata; Mammalia; Carnivora; Mustelidae
Exons: 3
Source: RefSeq, a predicted model, not a curated record
CUGGGAGCCCGAUGAAAUGUACCCAUUUGCCUGUCUAUUUAGCCAAAAGUACUCUGUCUUGUCCACAGGGUAUUAUGAGACUUAGCAUGCCAU